This is a long non-coding RNA of Dipodomys spectabilis (banner-tailed kangaroo rat), 100 nucleotides long. RefSeq lists it as uncharacterized. The transcript has 3 exons. The record is from RefSeq and is a predicted model, not a curated record. Lineage: Eukaryota; Metazoa; Chordata; Mammalia; Rodentia; Heteromyidae.
CAUGAGCAAGACCCUGACCAGGAGGAAUGGCUGGAUUUACAGGUUGUGGGCACAAAGGAGGUGGACACCCAGGAUUGGAACCUCCAGGGCACCCCAUGUA